This 449-nucleotide ribosomal RNA is filed under the name uncultured bacterium. Its description in RNAcentral is "partial 16S ribosomal RNA". It matches the Rfam family "Bacterial small subunit ribosomal RNA", at positions 29 to 523 of the family's 1533-position model. The record is from RNAcentral.
AACGAACGCUGGCGGCAUGCCUAACACAUGCAAGUCGAACGAGAUCUUCGGGUCUAGUGGCGCACGGGUGCGUAACGCGUGGGAAUCUGCCCUUUGGUUCGGAAUAACAGUUGGAAACGACUGCUAAUACCGGAUGAUGACGAAAGUCCAAAGAUUUAUCGCCAGAGGAUGAGCCCGCGUAGGAUUAGCUAGUUGGUGUGGUAAAGGCGCACCAGGGCGACGAUCCUUAGCUGGUCUGAGAGGAUGAUCAGCCACACUGGGACUGAGACACGGCCCAGACUCCUACGGGAGGCGGCAGUGGGGAAUAUUGGACAAUGGGCGAAAGCCUGAUCCAGCAAUGCCGCGUGAGUGAUGAAGGCCUUAGGGUUGUAAAGCUCUUUUACCCGGGAUGAUAAUGACAGUACCGGGAGAAUAAGCUCCGGCUAACUCCGUGCCAGCAGCCGCCGCGG